AACGAACGCUGGCGGCAUGCCUAACACAUGCAAGUCGAACGAGGCCUUCGGGUCUAGUGGCGCACGGGUGCGUAACGCGUGGGAACCUGCCCCUAGGUUCGGAAUAACUCCCCGAAAGGGGUGCUAAUACCGGAUAAUGUCUUCGGACCAAAGAUUUAUCGCCUUUGGAUGGGCCCGCGUUGGAUUAGCUAGUUGGUAGGGUAAAAGCCUACCAAGGCGACGAUCCAUAGCUGGUCUGAGAGGAUGAUCAGCCACACUGGGACUGAGACACGGCCCAGACUCCUACGGGAGGCAGCAGUGGGGAAUAUUGGACAAUGGGCGAAAGCCUGAUCCAGCAAUGCCGCGUGAGUGAUGAAGGCCUUAGGGUUGUAAAGCUCUUUUACCCGGGAUGAUAAUGGCAGUACCGGGAGAAUAAGCGCCGGCUAACUCCGUG
This 433-nucleotide ribosomal RNA is filed under the name uncultured bacterium. RNAcentral describes it as "partial 16S ribosomal RNA". It matches the Rfam family "Bacterial small subunit ribosomal RNA", at positions 29 to 507 of the family's 1533-position model. The record is from RNAcentral.